Long non-coding RNA from Ctenopharyngodon idella (grass carp), 983 nucleotides. RefSeq lists it as uncharacterized. The transcript is spliced from 2 exons. The record is from RefSeq and is a predicted model, not a curated record. Lineage: Eukaryota; Metazoa; Chordata; Actinopteri; Cypriniformes; Xenocyprididae.
GCGUGUGCAGAUGAACGGACUGGAUUUACUCGCGAGCGCCAGGUUGUUUGCUGUUUGAAUACUACAGUAUGUCGUUUUGCUUUAUUUUAUUGUAAUCAAACCAAGGAGACCACGAUGCCUUUCCAGGAUAUUGAUGAAAACGUGCUUUGAUAAUAAUAUAAACCGAAGCUAUUCUCAUAGAAAUCUCCUCCCCAAACAAACAAACGUGCGUCCAUGUGAGUCCUCUUACUUCCCGCGAAUAAAAGGAACAGCUCGUUCCGUAUUUUGCUUUUCGCCGAUGGAAAGCUCUGAAUAACAAAGACAUGUUUGAGAGCAGCAGCGCCAGGCUUGGCUGAGUGGUGACGUCAAGGAACAAUGACUCUUCCAACAGUGCCGAGACACCGCGCGCAUCUACUGCCUCCUCAGCCAAUGCUGCACGACUGAACUGACCAGGGGGAGGCCGCGCGAGCGUCUAGUAGUGCAUCAGAUAGAAUCACUCACUGCACACGCUGCGCUGCCUCACACCACCAGAACAAAAUUCCAGCAUGCCUGUCUGUGUGACUUAUGUCCUAAAAUAUGGAGAUAUGCAAAUGCCCUGCCUGGGAUUUUACAGCUCGUAAUUUCUUUCCUCCUGACAGGAGCAAAGCAAAGUACUCAAUAUAUGACAAGAGGUAUCGUUGUUUUUAAUACAGGCAGAUUUGGAGUGCUAACACAAGCUUCUAUGUAAUAUUCCCAUUUGUCUGCUAAUUAAAAUAGUUUAUAAAUCUGCAAUGAAUCCCUGAAGUGUGUAAAUUAGUGUCAAGUACAAAGAGUGCUGUUGAAGCAAUCUGCAUCACUGCUUGUAAUGUAACACUAAUAGAAAACGCGAACAUUUUAAAAUGAAUUUAUUCACAUGUAGGCUACUAUAAUUAUUAUGCCAUUCCCAUGACCACCACCAUUUCAUUUUAAACAUUUAGAUUCAAUAUAGAAAUCAUUUUAAUUCAAAAUAAAACAUAUUGAAAUUA